UGGGGAAUCUUGCGCAAUGGGCGAAAGCCUGAUCCAGCCAUGCCGCGUGUGUGAAGAAGGUCUUCGGAUUGUAAAGCACUUUAAGUUGGGAGGAAGGGCCAUUACCUAAUACGUGAUGGUUUUGACGUUACCGACAGAAUAAGCACCGGCUAACUCUGUGCCAGCAGCCGCGGUAAUACAGAGGGUGCAAGCGUUAAUCGGAAUUACUGGGCGUAAAGCGCGCGUAGGUGGUUUGUUAAGUUGGAUGUGAAAUCCCCGGGCUCAACCUGGGAACUGCAUUCAAAACUGACUGACUAGAGUAUGGUAGAGGGUGGUGGAAUUUCCUGUGUAGCGGUGAAAUGCGUAGAUAUAGGAAGGAACACCAGUGGCGAAGGCGACCACCUGGACUGAUACUGACACUGAGGUGCGAAAGCGUGGGGAGCAAACAGGAUUAGAUACCCCCGUAGUCCCUGAGCGGGCUGGCAAGGCGCAU
RNAcentral lists this ribosomal RNA (472 nucleotides) under uncultured bacterium. RNAcentral describes it as "bacterial SSU rRNA". It matches the Rfam family "Bacterial small subunit ribosomal RNA", at positions 355 to 825 of the family's 1533-position model. The record is from RNAcentral.